RNAcentral lists this ribosomal RNA (498 nucleotides) under uncultured bacterium. RNAcentral describes it as "partial 16S ribosomal RNA". It matches the Rfam family "Bacterial small subunit ribosomal RNA", at positions 32 to 523 of the family's 1533-position model. The record is from RNAcentral.
AUUCAACGCUGGCGGCAUGCCUUACACAUGCAAGUCGAACGGUAACAGGUCUUCUGAUGCUGACGAGUGGCGAACGGGUGAGUAAUACAUCGGAACGUGCCUAGUAGUGGGGGAUAACUACUCGAAAGAGUGGCUAAUACCGCAUGUGAUCUACGGAUGAAAGCAGGGGAUCGCAAGACCUUGUGCUACUAGAGCGGCCGAUGGCAGAUUAGGUAGUUGGUGGGAUAAAAGCUUACCAAGCCGACGAUCGGUAGCUGGUCUGAGAGGACGAUCAGCCGCACUGCGCCUGAGACACGGCCCAGACUCCUGCGGGAGGCAGCAGUGAGGAAUUUUGGACAAUGGUCGCAAGCUUGAUCCAGCAAUGCCGCGUGCAGGAUGAAGGCCUUCGGGUUGUAAACUGCUUUUGUACGGAACGAAAAGCCCCGGGUUAAUACCCUGGGGUCAUGACGGUACCGUAAGAAUAAGCACCGGCUAACUACGUGCCAGCCGCCGCAGUAA